UACCGCGGUUACACGAAAAGCCCUAGCCGUUAGGCCCCGGCGCAAAGGGUGGUUAGAGAAUAUCCACAUAAAGUCAAACUUAACCCCCGCUGUGGUACGCAAGCUCGUAAGCAAAGACCUCGACGAAAGUAACUUUAUCCCGCUUGAAGCCACAAAAGCUAGGGUA
RNAcentral lists this ribosomal RNA (166 nucleotides) under Cyclothone braueri (garrick). RNAcentral describes it as "partial 12S rRNA". The record is from RNAcentral. Lineage: Eukaryota; Metazoa; Chordata; Actinopteri; Stomiiformes; Gonostomatidae.